Peromyscus eremicus (cactus mouse) is the source of this 3624-nucleotide long non-coding RNA. RefSeq lists it as uncharacterized. Lineage: Eukaryota; Metazoa; Chordata; Mammalia; Rodentia; Cricetidae. The transcript has 2 exons. The record is from RefSeq and is a predicted model, not a curated record.
GGGAGGUCCCCCGACUCCGGCCCGGCUGGCCCAGCGCGGCGGGGAUGGGGUCACUGCGGCGGCAGCCAGGCCGAAGCCGGGGUCCCAGCGCUGCGCGGCGGCGGCUCCAUCUCCAUCAUCAGGGGCUUCACCUGAGGAGGGACCGGCCCCCCCGCCGAGCCCCCCCCAUCACGGCCAUUCCUCCCCCCCCACUCCGGAAUAACUUCCGGUCCCACUACCAGGCGACAGGCGACUGGGCCAAACACCGAGCGCCCCCAAGCCGGGGAGACUGCGGAGGGAAAAAAAAAAAAAAAAAAAGGAGAGGAGCUAGGGGAGAAUAGCCGAGCGCCGAAAGAUGCAUCUCCAGGUCCAUCAGUUAGGCGGUGUGCCGCCGCAGAUGGUAGCCGACCUGAGGAGGGAGACCCACUCCUCGAUUUCCCAGCGGCUGCACCCACUAGCUGUGGGUUACCUUACGCCUCCCUCUUGCAACAUGUUCACUGUCCAGGAACACGAGGUCCCAGCCAUAACCUUAAACAGACACUUUAUUGGUAUAUAUAUAUUUUAAAAGUCGAGCUCUGAGAGGGAAACCCCCUUGCAUCCCAUAGGCAGUAGAAAACUGUAAUGUAUGGUUCUUACACAGUCUACACACAUUUGGCUGGAGCAUCUGAGCGAUGCAAAAGUAAGGCCCCGGGUGGGGAGGUGUUAGAAGUGGAGGUGUGGUAGGAGGAGAAAGCAAUGUCUUCAGAACUGCUUUCUCACCUCCAGACUCUCCAACCGCUCUCUCCUGGCAGAGGCAGAGGCCAGGAGAGUCCAUGUUCCUGUGUGGAGAUGUGCAACGUGUGUGCCUGGGUACAGUUUAAGAAGACACAGCGAAUACGGGGUCAGGGCCCAAGAAGAGGACGGGGAUGUUUUCCCAUGGCAACGAGGAUCAAGGAUGGGCUGGGAAGUCUGGGUGGUUCUUUGGGUACAGACGGCUCUGUUCCACGCUUUUAUGGAACCACGCGAACGUGGACACGGUGCCAGGCAUUGCUGAGUACGCCUCGCAGGUUCCAGAUGGGGGCUACGGUGUCCGGCUGCACGUUGUAACUGUCAUCCACAGCUUUACAAAUGAUGUUCAACUCCUUUUGCUCGGCUGGCACCCGAGCUUUCACCUGCCAUAUUCGCCAAGCCCAUGCCUUCCUGGGACCUUGUUCCUCUCCCUCUAGCUCAGCUUCCUGCCAGGUGAGUCCGCCAUCUACGGACACAUCCACUCGAAUCACGGCCCUACCACCACCGCUCCAUGCGUAGCCCUUGAUCGUCACCUCUCCUGACUCCACAGUCGCCCCAUCUUGAGGCUGCGUGAUAGCCGACUGGAUUGGUAGUUCCUGGAUUGAUGGGGCCAGAUCAAAGUCUACCGUGUUCCAGUCCACGGACGGAGAGAAGCCUUUGUAAUCCCGCCUCUGCCAGUGGCUGUGACUUUCCUCUGACUCCACGCUCACUUUGGCCAGCCACUUGACGUUGCGGGCACCCACCACACCGGGAACCACCACCCGUAUGGGGAAACCGUGGUCACGAGGCAGGGGCUGACCAUUCAUUUCAUACGCCAAGAGGACCUCGGCUUCAGGAUCCAGGGCCCGAGCCAGAGGGAUAGAUGCUCCAUAGGCAGUCCCCGUGGGGUCCGAGUCAAGUCCCUCAAAACAGACAUGGGCCUCGGUUUCACGGACUCGGUGGCCAGCCUGGGCUAACACGUCACAGAGUCGUGCCCCAGCCCAGCGGGCGGUGCUGAUGGCUCCUGUCCGCCACUCCAGACCUUUCACUUCCUUAACCUUACUCAUCUCAGAGCGACGGUUGCCAGCACACUGCAGAGUGACGGUGAUCUCAUGUUUAGGAAACUUAUACAGAUCAUCCAAGGACAGGGACAGCGACUGACCUCCAGGCGCCCCUACUACGUGCAAGCGAUAGGUGUCUGGGUCCACAUUAGGUACAGGCAGAUGGUUCCGGGUGAAAAAAAUAGGGUUUGGCGUGAUGUAGUUUUCCGUCAGCAGUUCAGGAGGAGGCUCUGCGUUAAAGGGGCGCUGGCUAUUAAUCCUCAGGGCUGGAUGACGGACAGGAUCAUCAGCAUAAGGGUCAGAGGCCUCCAAGGCGGGGGGUGACACGUUAUCCUCAGGGUUCAGUUCCCCAAUCUUAUACUCGGCCAGUAACUCACGUACAUGGGGCUGGUUGUGGAAAGCAUACAGGGACCAGAAGGGCUCUAGGGGACCCCCUGCUGCCAGGAUCAGUUUUGAUGGUCCUCCUGGGUGUAGGUCCACAAAUUCUGUGACAUCAAAGACCUCAGAGCCUAGAGUUACCCAGACUCCAGUUUCGGGGCUGUUGUGGGACCUCACUUCCUCUUUGGUGUACAUCCGUGGUGACUCCUGAGCAGCCUACAGGUAGGGGAGGGAGAAAGCAAAAGGAACAGCAUAUUAAAUCACUCUAGAUCAUUCUGACACCAUCCAUCCAUAGUCUUAGACUGGGAAAUUAAAGGAACAGAUAGUAUGUCUGUAGUGCAUGAAGACAGAGCUGGCACCGGGAAGAGCGCGUGAGAUCCCUCUGCCCCUUUCCUGCCUACCUUGCAGCGAAGGUCAUGAUAGGCCAGCACUGCGCCAAGGCCCAGCAGGGUCCCCAUGACUUUCCACCCCUGAGUUCUUGAGUUUUCAUCAGAAAAGGUGAGGCUGGGGUGCUGGGGUUUAAAUGAAUCAUUUGUGGAGCAUGCUGGGAUGCAGAGCCUCGAGGGGGUUGUCUUGACUCUGGAAGAAAGAGAUCUUUAGUAGCACAACAAGUCCUGUGGAAAGGACCAUCGGAGGUCUGUGGCUGCCUCUCCCUCAUUAGUCACCAGCUUUCAGUUGGAGUUUAGUUUCUUCCGGAUGGGUAGGACCAGUGAAACACAGCUUUCUCUUUCCUCCAGGGCCAUUUCUGUACCAUCUUAUCUUCCAGAUAAGAUAAAUAUCUGCCAGAUACGGUAAUUACGAGAUAGUCUAGGAGAUAAGUAACGGGGCCCGGGAUAACCUACCUGAGGGCCUGUGGAAGUCCCACCACCACAGUUCGGUACAGCCGAAGCAGCAUUGUGGCGGACCUACAGGGAGAAGAUUCUGGGUUUCAGAACAAGAAAACCCCUGCGAGGGGACAUUUGGGGGGACUGAGAAUGCAGGGUCCAAAUGGGUUCUUGGAGUAAACUUGGAGCACUUCAGAGGUUGGCUGUGCUGAAGAGGCGGAAGGGAAUGGGGGUGGAGUGGGGAUGAGGGAGGUACACAGGCUUCCAGAGAGAACAAUGCCCCAGGCCAAGGAACGAAAGGACACAUGCAGGUUUGCCAAUUAAAAAAAAAAAAAAAAAAAAGAUACUGGGUAUUGAACCCAAGGCCUUGAGAAGGUUAGACAAGUGCUCUACCACUGAGCUAUCCUCCCAGCCCCAGUUUGUAAUUAUCUCUAAAGUGAGACCCCGAUGAAAACCGAGACAAGAGGGUAGCGGUAACCUAAUGGGGUAGAGUUCAAAUUCUAGAAGCAAACCGCCUUGGGUAUGUACAACCAGGCCUGGUCAUUAAAAGGCUCCCCGGGCAACACAGUAGGCCUCCCUGAAACUGUAUCCUCAUCUCUACCCUGAUACCAAGAGUAAACAAGUAAUAACAUUCA